GAUGAACGCUGGCGGCGUGCCUAAUACAUGCAAGUCGAGCGAACAGACGAGGAGCUUGCUCCUCUGACGUUAGCGGCGGACGGGUGAGUAACACGUGGAUAACCUACCUAUAAGACUGGGAUAACUUCGGGAAACCGGAGCUAAUACCGGAUAAUAUAUUGAACCGCAUGGUUCAAUAGUGAAAGACGGUUUUGCUGUCACUUAUAGAUGGAUCCGCGCCGCAUUAGCUAGUUGGCAAGGUAACGGCUUACCAAGGCGACGAUGCGUAGCCGACCUGAGAGGGUGAUCGGCCACACUGGAACUGAGACACGGUCCAGACUCCUACGGGAGGCAGCAGUAGGGAAUCUUCCGCAAUGGGCGAAAGCCUGACGGAGCAACGCCGCGUGAGUGAUGAAGGUCUUCGGAUCGUAAAACUCUGUUAUUAGGGAAGAACAAAUGUGUAAGUAACUAUGCACGUCUUGACGGUACCUAAUCAGAAAGCCACGGCUAACUACGUG
Molecule: ribosomal RNA, 497 nt
Filed under: uncultured bacterium
Lineage: Bacteria
Description: partial 16S ribosomal RNA
Rfam family: Bacterial small subunit ribosomal RNA
Source: RNAcentral